Molecule: ribosomal RNA, 253 nt
Filed under: uncultured bacterium
Lineage: Bacteria
Description: partial 16S ribosomal RNA
Rfam family: Bacterial small subunit ribosomal RNA
Source: RNAcentral
UACGGAGGGUGCAAGCGUUAAUCGGAAUUACUGGGCGUAAAGCGCGCGUAGGCGGUUUGUUAAGUCAGAUGUGAAAGCCCAGGGCUCAACCUUGGAACUGCAUCUGAUACUGGCAGGCUAGAGUACAGGAGAGGGAAGUGGAAUUUCAGGUGUAGCGGUGAAAUGCGUAGAGAUCUGAAGGAACACCAGUGGCGAAGGCGACUUCCUGGACUGAUACUGACGCUGAGGUGCGAAAGCGUGGGGAGCAAACAGG